Molecule: transfer RNA, 73 nt
Organism: Neotoma lepida (desert woodrat)
Lineage: Eukaryota; Metazoa; Chordata; Mammalia; Rodentia; Cricetidae
Rfam family: tRNA
About the family: Transfer RNA (tRNA) molecules are approximately 80 nucleotides in length. Their secondary structure includes four short double-helical elements and three loops (D, anti-codon, and T loops). Further hydrogen bonds mediate the characteristic L-shaped molecular structure. tRNAs have two regions of fundamental functional importance: the anti-codon, which is responsible for specific mRNA codon recognition, and the 3' end, to which the tRNAs corresponding amino acid is attached (by aminoacyl-tRNA synthetases). tRNAs cope with the degeneracy of the genetic code in two manners: having more than one tRNA (with a specific anti-codon) for a particular amino acid; and 'wobble' base-pairing, i.e. permitting non-standard base-pairing at the 3rd anti-codon position.
Source: Rfam
GGAGAGAUAGCUCAGUGGUUAACAGCACUGGCUGCUCUUCCAGAGUACCUGGGUUAAAUUCCCAGCNUCUACA